Molecule: ribosomal RNA, 397 nt
Filed under: uncultured bacterium
Lineage: Bacteria
Description: partial 16S ribosomal RNA
Rfam family: Bacterial small subunit ribosomal RNA
Source: RNAcentral
AUACGUAGGUGCCAAGCGUUAUCCGGAUUUACUGGGCGUAAAGGGCGUGUAGGCGGUCUUGCAAGUCAGAAGUGAAAUUCCUGAGCUCAACUCGGGCGCUGCUUCUGAAACUGCAGGACUUGAGUGCUGGAGGGGAUAGCGGAAUUCCUAGUGGAGCGGUAAAAUGCGCAGAUAUUAGGAAGAACACCGGUGGCGAAGGCGGCUAUCUGGACAGUAACUGACGCUGAGGCGCGAAAGCGUGGGGAGCAAACAGGAUUAGAUACCCUGGUAGUCCUCGCCGUAAACGAUGAAUACUAGGUGUAGGGGGUAUCGACUCCCUCUGUGCCGCAGUUAACACAAUAAGUAUUCCGCCUGGGGAGUACGGCCGCAAGGUUGAAACUCAAAUGAAUUGACGGGG